GCAGUGGGGAAUAUUGCACAAUGGGGGAAACCCUGAUGCAGCGACGCCGCGUGAGUGAAGAAGUAUUUCGGUAUGUAAAGCUCUAUCAGCAGGGAAGAAAAAAGACGGUACCUGACUAAGAAGCCCCGGCUAACUACGUGCCAGCAGCCGCGGUAAUACGUAGGGGGCAAGCGUUAUCCGGAAUUACUGGGUGUAAAGGGUGCGUAGGUGGCAUGGUAAGUCAGAAGUGAAAGCCCGGGGCUUAACCCCGGGACUGCUUUUGAAACUGUCAUGCUGGAGUGCAGGAGAGGUAAGCGGAAUUCCUAGUGUAGCGGUGAAAUGCGUAGAUAUUAGGAGGAACACCAGUGGCGAAGGCGGCUUACUGGACUGUCACUGACACUGAUGCACGAAAGCGUGGGGAGCAAACAGGAUUAGAUACCCUGGUAGUCCACGCCGUAAA
This 439-nucleotide ribosomal RNA is filed under the name uncultured bacterium. Its description in RNAcentral is "bacterial SSU rRNA". It matches the Rfam family "Bacterial small subunit ribosomal RNA", at positions 351 to 806 of the family's 1533-position model. The record is from RNAcentral.